Molecule: long non-coding RNA, 977 nt
Organism: Brachypodium distachyon (stiff brome)
Lineage: Eukaryota; Viridiplantae; Streptophyta; Magnoliopsida; Poales; Poaceae
Exons: 2
Source: RefSeq, a predicted model, not a curated record
UUGUUUAUAGGACGAGAUUACGCCGCCGGCGGAAAGGAAGGAGAGACCCAGGCCAGAUUAGUCAACGGUCAACUGUGUAAUGAAUAUAAUCCGUCUCGGAGUUCUCCAGCAGACCAACUGGGCAACUUUCCGAAAGAAUUAAUAUUCACGGCCCAACUGGAGAUCCUAGGCCUUCUCGUCUCGCCCCCACCCAGCGAUAUCGAGCCCUCAGCACUUUCCCAAUCCCUCGAAAGAAGAACGAAUUCCCCCCUUCCGCAGACUUCUCCGGUCUCCCUCCCUCGCCGGAGCCACCGCCCCCCGCCUUCCCUUCUCCGACCAAAUCGUGAAAGCUGCAACUCUUCUCCUCCUUCCAAAUCUCUAGCCGUAUUUGUUUCCAGCGGCCGUGGGGUGCAGAGCUCGAAGUCGAUAGCCAACCAACCAAUGGCGGGCUGGCGGCGGCGCGAUGGGAGAGCAUCGAGGUCGCGCGCAACGGCUGGCGGCGACGUCCUUGCCCGGCCACCUGAGCGGCGGCGGUCCGGGAGCGGGACGGCGCGCCGGCAGGGCUUGGGCCACACCGCAAUCAGGUGGAGUCGCCCCGUCCCGUCGCACCUCGUCUAGGGCAUUGGUGGUCUCCGACGGCGAAAUUUGUUGAGGGAGAGGAAGAGCCUAGGUUGAUUACGCGUACCUCAAGGCCUCAUACGGGAGCAUCGCCGGCAAUGACGUGUGCCACCGCGGUGCUCUGCAGGGACUUCCACUUUAGCUAGAUGAUGUUGUUGGUUAUCUAAGAACUGCCGGGGGGUUGUUGGAUCAUCUAAGAAAUGCCAGGGGAUUUUUGGAACUCAUAUAACAUACGUUUUGACUUUAAUUGAGAUCUUUAAUAAAUUUUCUUGAAUGUUACAUAAUCACUCCUAAAGACGGUUUGUCCAUGGCCCCGUGAACAUAGCAUUUUUCCAUGUAUAAAAAAAAAUACAACAAUAGUUACAAUACAUGAGUUUUGA